UACGGAGGGUGCAAGCGUUAUCCGGAUUCACUGGGUUUAAAGGGUGCGUAGGUGGGCAGUUAAGUCAGUGGUGAAAUCUCCGGGCUCAACCCGGAAACUGCCAUUGAUACUAUCUGUCUUGAAUAUCGUGGAGGUAAGCGGAAUAUGUCAUGUAGCGGUGAAAUGCUUAGAUAUGACAUAGAACACCUAUUGCGAAGGCAGCUUACUACCCGAAUAUUGACACUGAGGCACGAAAGCGUGGGGAUCAAACAGG
RNAcentral lists this ribosomal RNA (253 nucleotides) under uncultured bacterium. RNAcentral's name for it is "partial 16S ribosomal RNA". It matches the Rfam family "Bacterial small subunit ribosomal RNA", at positions 524 to 776 of the family's 1533-position model. The record is from RNAcentral.